GGUGUAGCUCAGUGGUAGAGCACAGGCUUAGCACGUGCAAGGGGUUGGGUUCAAAUCCCAGCACC
RNAcentral lists this transfer RNA (65 nucleotides) under Heterocephalus glaber (naked mole-rat). It matches the Rfam family "tRNA". From Rfam's summary of the family: Transfer RNA (tRNA) molecules are approximately 80 nucleotides in length. Their secondary structure includes four short double-helical elements and three loops (D, anti-codon, and T loops). Further hydrogen bonds mediate the characteristic L-shaped molecular structure. tRNAs have two regions of fundamental functional importance: the anti-codon, which is responsible for specific mRNA codon recognition, and the 3' end, to which the tRNAs corresponding amino acid is attached (by aminoacyl-tRNA synthetases). tRNAs cope with the degeneracy of the genetic code in two manners: having more than one tRNA (with a specific anti-codon) for a particular amino acid; and 'wobble' base-pairing, i.e. permitting non-standard base-pairing at the 3rd anti-codon position. The record is from Rfam by way of RNAcentral. Lineage: Eukaryota; Metazoa; Chordata; Mammalia; Rodentia; Bathyergidae.